Molecule: ribosomal RNA, 253 nt
Filed under: uncultured bacterium
Lineage: Bacteria
Description: partial 16S ribosomal RNA
Rfam family: Bacterial small subunit ribosomal RNA
Source: RNAcentral
UACGUAGGGUGCAAGCGUUAAUCGGAAUUACUGGGCGUAAAGCGUGCGCAGGCGGUUAUGUAAGACAGAUGUGAAAUCCCCGGGCUUAACCUGGGAACUGCAUUUGUGACUGCAUAGCUAGAGUACGGUAGAGGGGGAUGGAAUUCCGCGUGUAGCAGUGAAAUGCGUAGAUAUGCGGAGGAACACCGAUGGCGAAGGCAAUCCCCUGGACCUGUACUGACGCUCAUGCACGAAAGCGUGGGGAGCAAACAGG